RNAcentral lists this unclassified non-coding RNA (234 nucleotides) under uncultured fungus. RNAcentral's name for it is "sequence contains ITS1, 5.8S rRNA gene". The stretch from base 186 to 234 matches the Rfam family "5.8S ribosomal RNA", at positions 1 to 49 of the family's 154-position model. The record is from RNAcentral. Lineage: Eukaryota; Fungi.
UCUCCGUUGGUGAACCAGCGGAGGGAUCAUUAAAGAGUUACCUAACUCCUAAACCCAUGUGAACUUACCUCUGUUGCCUCGGCAGGUCCCGCCUCACCUAACCCGGUGGACGCGGACAAGCCUGCCGGUGGCCCACGAAACUCUGUUUACUUCUUGUAUUCUGAACUCGUAACUAAAUAAGUUAAAACUUUCAACAACGGAUCUCUUGGUUCUGGCAUCGAUGAAGAACGCAGC